GACGAACCGAGCGAACGUUGUUCGGAAUCACUGGGCUUAAAGGGCGCGUAGGCGGGUGCUCAAGUCCGGGGUGAAAUCCUCCAGCUCAACUGGAGAACUGCCUCGGAUACUGGGUGCCUCGAGGGUGGCAGGGGUAUGCGGAACUAUCGGUGGAGCGGUGAAAUGCGUUGAUAUCGAUAGGAACUCCGGUGGCGAAGGCGGCAUACUGGACCACAUCUGACGCUGAGGCGCGAAAGCCAGGGGAGCAAACGGG
RNAcentral lists this ribosomal RNA (253 nucleotides) under uncultured bacterium. RNAcentral's name for it is "partial 16S ribosomal RNA". It matches the Rfam family "Bacterial small subunit ribosomal RNA", at positions 524 to 776 of the family's 1533-position model. The record is from RNAcentral.